RNAcentral lists this long non-coding RNA (1504 nucleotides) under Junco hyemalis (dark-eyed junco). RNAcentral describes it as "lncRNA (ENSJHYG00000018447.1)". Lineage: Eukaryota; Metazoa; Chordata; Aves; Passeriformes; Passerellidae. The record is from RNAcentral.
GCCGACUUUCAGUCACCAUACAACUUUUAAAACAACAAAAGAUUUCUCUUUGUUUUACAAAAACAUGAUAGUUCCGAGUGAAAUACUGCAUAGAAUUCACGGAAUAACCCUGAUGCACACAGAGAACCACAUUCACUGUUUAAAAACAGUGGAAGAUAUUAACAUAGGAACUAGAGCCGAGAGCCUUCACGAUCAGCCAGCUGCAGGUCAGACCUGAACUACAAACCUGAUCUUAGAUAGGCCAAAGUGCCUACCCUGCCAGCAAGGGGUAGCUGUUAGCCUGGGCACAUUUUUAAUUAAAAACAGGGAGAGAAGACUUAUAAACUUCAGUAAUUUUCUUCCCAAACACGCAGGGAUGCACUUCACUGAACACUCAUUACGUGAGACGUAAUUUUACCUUUAUGUCCUUUACCUACACUGGCAUCGACGGAGGCCACAGCGCACCGCGCUCCUUGAGAAAAUCCCCGGCCUCAGCCCUACUGAGGUCGAAAGUCGGUGACGGAAAGAAAAACGAACGGAGCGGACCGAGGGCGAUGUCCCCGCCGCAGCCCGGUGUGCCCGCCCGCCGGUCCCCGUGCGGGGCGGCGGCGCUCCCGCUCCCGCCCGGGAAACUUUCGGGUUGCGCCGCUCUCCGGCCGGGAGGCGCUGCCCGCCUUCCCCCGGCGCUGCCCCGCAGCCGCCGGAUACGCCGCCUCCAUUCACCGGAGCCCCGCGAGGGGUGCGGGGGGGUGGCGUCCCGGCCCGGCGCUGCCCCCCGGCCGGGCGGCACAAAGCAGCGGCUGUCACACGCACACGAGCAGCAACUCGGGAGGAUGAGGAGGAGCCGCCCCCGAGCCCCCCCGCAACUGGACGUGGCACAACGAACACUCCUCCCGCUCCGGGCCCCCCGUGCCGCCCCCGGCAGGUACCGGCCCCCUCCUGCGCGGGGCGGCCGCGGAGCCUCGGCCGCACAGAUCGCUCAGGAAAAGACCAUUUCCUCUGCCCUCACCCUGAAGAACAGUUUAAUUUACCUUAGGAGUUUCCCAGCAGACCACAGGGAGCCCUGCAGAGGGUCAGGGCUUGAGGUGCCUAACACUGCACUGCCUUGUGCUUUAGUGUCAGUAACUUUGAAAUUGUUUACGGAAAAGCUCAUGGCUCCCACUGAUUUCAUCUGCUCUUGCAAUUUCACUAUGAGUCAUCCAAUAUGCAGUGUGUUCCUUGCAGAGCACACAUGGAGCCUGUGGAUACCAGCACCAAAGCGUUCAGCUAAGGACAGAGAAGACAGGCAACAUGUGCCUCUCCUCCUUUCCCAGUUUUGCAUCCUGCUUAUACCAGCUCUGGCCCUAACUGGACCCUCCCUUUGACUCACUAGUGUGGCAUAAAGCUAUGUAGGAUUUGCUGUUGUUUGUUUUCUUCCCGGUUGUUGAACCUGAGGUGACUCUAAUACAAAGCCAGCAUGUGAGUGCUGGUGUCACCAUAAGACACAGAGAGAAACUCUGUGGUGUCAGCGUUGUGAGAGAUGGGU